CCACGGGUGGCUGCAGUGGGGAAUAUUGGACAAUGGGCGAAAGCCUGAUCCAGCCAUGCCGCGUGUGUGAAGAAGGCCUUCGGGUUGUAAAGCACUUUCAGUGGGGAAGAAAGCCUUGGGGCUAAUACCCUCGAGGAAGGACAUCACCCACAGAAGAAGCACCGGCUAACUCCGUGCCAGCAGCCGCGGUAAUACGGAGGGUGCGAGCGUUAAUCGGAAUUACUGGGCGUAAAGCGCGCGUAGGCGGUCUGAUAAGCCGGUUGUGAAAGCCCCGGGCUCAACCUGGGAACGGCAUCCGGAACUGUCAGGCUAGAGUGCAGGAGAGGAAGGUAGAAUUCCCGGUGUAGCGGUGAAAUGCGUAGAGAUCGGGAGGAAUACCAGUGGCGAAGGCGGCCUUCUGGACUGACACUGACGCUGAGGUGCGAAAGCGUGGGUAGCAAACAGGAUUAGAUCCCCAGUAGU
Molecule: ribosomal RNA, 462 nt
Filed under: Vreelandella stevensii
Lineage: Bacteria; Pseudomonadati; Pseudomonadota; Gammaproteobacteria; Oceanospirillales; Halomonadaceae
Description: partial 16S ribosomal RNA
Rfam family: Bacterial small subunit ribosomal RNA
Source: RNAcentral